UUUCUAUAAUCCGUCUCAUCAUAAUUGAUCCAGGAUGUCCCAAUCGAUCAUGCCAAAGUACGAAAAUAUUGGAAUCAGUAACCUUUUGGUUUACGGUGUGCCUCAAUUGCACUAAUUCUUGUCCAAUACAGACCACAAGUUAAAGAUGAAAACUUCUCAAUAACCCUCUUUUGGUCAGAGACAUUCUUUAUAAAGAUGAGAUAUUCAAGAUUAUUCUCAUCUAUUGUCUCAAUAAGAUAUCCAUUUUGACUGAUAUCUUUAAAA
This 264-nucleotide long non-coding RNA is filed under the name Nicotiana benthamiana. Its description in RNAcentral is "long non-coding RNA (NBEN_LNC026493)". Lineage: Eukaryota; Viridiplantae; Streptophyta; Magnoliopsida; Solanales; Solanaceae. The record is from RNAcentral.